CCCUAUUAUUUAAGAGCUGAAUAUUGUUAGUAUAUAAAGAUUAUGAAAGCAAAAAGUUAUGGCGGUAUUUUAAGCUUUUCAGAGGAAUUUGCUCUUUAAUGGAUAAAACACCAAAAUCUUACUUAAAUUUGUCAAAUCAACUUGUAUACCACUAUUAAAACAAUUAUUAACUCUAAUUGUUAAUAUUUAAAAUUUUAUAAUUAAUUAAAAUUAAGUCAAGGUGCAGUAAAAAUUUAAGAAUGAAGUGAAUUACAUUACUUUUAAGGGGAAUAAAAUUAAWUAAAAAUUAGGAUUUGAAAGUAAAAUUAAWAUAGAAUGUUAAUUUGAAUUAAGCUCUAAAAUAUGUACAUAUCGCCCGUCACUCUUUUUUAA
This 372-nucleotide ribosomal RNA is filed under the name Rhipicephalus zambeziensis. Its description in RNAcentral is "partial 12S ribosomal RNA". The record is from RNAcentral. Lineage: Eukaryota; Metazoa; Arthropoda; Arachnida; Ixodida; Ixodidae.